CAGAGUUCUUGCCCUUCGGGGUAGAUCUCCCACCCUUGUGUAUCAUUAUCGAAUGUUGCUUUGGCGGGCCGCGAGCCUAGCUUGCCCAGAUUUGCGUCCGGCGCGCCCGCCAGAGGACCCCUAAACUCUGAAUGUUAGUGUCGUCUGAGUACUAUUAAAUAGUUA
RNAcentral lists this unclassified non-coding RNA (165 nucleotides) under uncultured Helotiales. The record is from RNAcentral. Lineage: Eukaryota; Fungi; Ascomycota; Leotiomycetes; Helotiales.